AAUAAAAAAGGUGAAAAUUGGCAUUUCAUUUCUCACAUCCCGAAUAUUGAAGUUGAUUGGAGAAGAGUUCAAUGGGAGGGCCGCUAUCUACUACAGGACCAAGAAGAAUCUUCUACCUCUUGAGAAAUCAAAUGACAAGUUAUGAAGAUUAGACAUAGCGUAUGCACUCUACUUCAAAUCCCUCUUCAACAACAAGCAAUACAAUUAAGUAGUAAGUACCAAUUUCAUUUGUGUACAUUUCUGAAAAUUCUAAUUAAUAAAUUGAUAUCUGGCAAUAAUGCUAAGGAAACCUGAAAGGCAGUUUCAUUUCUAGAUAUUAUAAUGGAUAUGAAUUCUGAAUAAUUUUGACUGGUCUUUCACUUUCUGUAUACAUACACUGGCUCAUCAAAAAUGAAGGAUCAUAGGGUUACAGUUGUUUACAUCACCAUUAACAACAAGUGCAAAGGGUACUCGGAAUGCAUUGGCAGAAGUUAAUAGAGAACUAUUCAGAAACCAAAACAAGAUUGAAUUAUUUUUAUAAAAAGAUUCAUAUAAAGGUCUCAGCAAUUCUUUGAGAGUGAGAACGAAGGGGACGGAGAUUUUUUCCUCUGCUGAUUUGAGUGCUGAAGGAGAGUUCUAAUGGUGUUGGGUGCUGCAAGGUGACUCAAGACAUUUUAGUAUUUACUAGAAAGGUAUUUCUUUUUAUUUUCUCCAAUUUUUUAGGAUCUAAAUUGUGGAUUGAAAUGUAAGAAAUAUUGUGUAUGAUCUCUUGAUAUAGUGGAUUAUUUUUCAGAGACUGGCCCGUGGUUUUUCCCUCUACAUAAGAGGGUUUUCCACGUAAA
This is a long non-coding RNA of Hevea brasiliensis (rubber tree), 821 nucleotides long. RefSeq lists it as uncharacterized. Lineage: Eukaryota; Viridiplantae; Streptophyta; Magnoliopsida; Malpighiales; Euphorbiaceae. The transcript is spliced from 4 exons. The record is from RefSeq and is a predicted model, not a curated record.